This 253-nucleotide ribosomal RNA is filed under the name uncultured bacterium. Its description in RNAcentral is "partial 16S ribosomal RNA". It matches the Rfam family "Bacterial small subunit ribosomal RNA", at positions 524 to 776 of the family's 1533-position model. The record is from RNAcentral.
UACGGGGGUGGCAAGCGUUGUUCGGAAUUACUGGGCGUAAAGGGCGCGUAGGCGGCGAUACAAGUCAGAUGUGAAAGCCCCGGGCUUAACCCGGGAAUUGCAUCUGAAACUGUACUGCUUGAGUCCUGGAGGGGGUAGUGGAAUUCCCAGUGUAGCGGUGAAAUGCGUAGAUAUUGGGAGGAACACCUGCGGCGAAGGCGGCUACCUGGACAGUGACUGACGCUGAGGCGCGAAAGCUAGGGGAGCGAACGGG